GAUGAACGCUGGCUACAGGCUUAACACAUGCAAGUCGAGGGGAAACGCCGGGGAAGCUUGCUUCCCCGGGCGUCGACCGGCGCACGGGUGAGUAACGCGUAUCCAACCUGCCUCUGACUGAGGGAUAACCCGUCGAAAGUCGGCCUAAUACCUCAUGGCAUCGUCUGCGGGCAUCCAACGACGAUUAAAGAUUUCAUCGGUCAGAGAUGGGGAUGCGUCUGAUUAGCUUGUUGGCGGGGUAACGGCCCACCAAGGCGACGAUCAGUAGGGGUUCUGAGAGGAAGGUCCCCCACAUUGGAACUGAGACACGGUCCAAACUCCUACGGGAGGCAGCAGUGAGGAAUAUUGGUCAAUGGGCGAGAGCCUGAACCAGCCAAGUAGCGUGCAGGAUGACGGCCCUAUGGGUUGUAAACUGCUUUUAUGCGGGGAUAAAGUGAGGGACGUGUCCUUCAUUGCAGGUACCGCAGGAAUAAGGACCGGCUAAUUCCGU
Molecule: ribosomal RNA, 490 nt
Filed under: uncultured bacterium
Lineage: Bacteria
Description: partial 16S ribosomal RNA
Rfam family: Bacterial small subunit ribosomal RNA
Source: RNAcentral